Molecule: long non-coding RNA, 20055 nt
Filed under: Musa acuminata (dwarf banana)
Lineage: Eukaryota; Viridiplantae; Streptophyta; Magnoliopsida; Zingiberales; Musaceae
Description: long non-coding RNA (MACU_LNC003111)
Source: RNAcentral
AAUUCCAAUCUCAGUGGGUAUGGGACCUGAAAGUGAAUUAUCACCAAGAUAAAGUUCUCUUAGACCAGUCAAAUUUCCAAUCCCAGCGGGUAUGGCACCAUGAAACAUAGAAAAACCGAGAUCAAGAUAAGAGAGGUUGUGGAGUUUCCAUAGCCAGUUGGGGAAGGUGGAGUUGAAGAGGUUGCCAUUGAGAUCGAGAGUGGUCAACGUCGUGAGGUUGACAAGGGAAAGAGAAGGGGGAGGUCGGUGAGGCCACAGUCUUGUAAAUAUAGCUCCUCCAGUGAGGACAAACAUAAGUUGCAGAUUCCCAAUCUCGGCAGGGAUUCGACCCGAAAGUGAAUUGUCGCUGAGGCGUAAUUCCGUAGGACUAGUCAAGCGCCCAAUCUCGGCAGGGAUGGAACCAACAAGGAAGCACUGGACGAGAUUUAGCUGCGACAGACUUGUCGUGUUCCCGAUUUGAGGUAGAAGGGGACUCGUAAAUGAAUUGUGGCUGAGAUCAAGUAUGGUUAGACUAGCCAAACUCCAGAGAUCGACAGGUAUGGAACCGGAAAGCGAGUUGCCGCUAAGGUCGAGCUGCGUGAGACGAGUCAAGUUCCCAAACCAGGCAGGUACGGUCCCAUACGAUUCAGAAUUGCUGAUCGCGAGAUAGGAGAGGCUGUUAGAGUUAGUCAAGUUCCCAAACCCGGCAGGUACGGUCCCAUACGAUUCAGAAUUGCUGAUCGCGAGAUAGGAGAGGCUGUUAGAGUUAAUCCUAAGAAAUUUAUCACAAGAUAAUUUUUGCAACCCAACAAAGACAAUAAAGCGGAAAAGAUAAAAGCGACAAGAACACUAUAUUUACGUGACCGAACUACUAUAAAAAUGACUAUUAUAAAUGCCUUAGGAAGAUGUUCCUAGGCCAUAAAACACCCAAAAAUACUAAACUAGAAAAACUCAAACUAUAAGUCCAAACUAUUUAACUAAGUGUGGACUUAAACCCAAAACUAACACUUAGGUUUUUCUUGUGGUUCCUCUUGUGGUGCUACUUGUGGUGCAUUUGACUUCAAAGCCCAGACCCUUAUUUAUAGUUCCAAUAUGAGAUAACAAACUUGGUUUUCCCGAUGUGGGACUAUGGGACUUGCCAAACUGAAGAGGCUUCGUAAACAUAUCAGCUGGAUUGUCCUUCGUAUGAAUUUUCUGAAUAAGGACCUUUCCCUCAGCAAUGAUAUCCCAUUUGUAUCCAACAAAUUUCUUACCCGAAGGCGACUUCACAAGAUCCUAAGUUCUAUUCUGAUUGAGAGAUUCAAUUUCUUCAUUCAUCGCAAUUAACCACUUAGCGGAAUUAUCAUAAGAAACUGCAUCUGAGUAGGAAGUAGGUUCACCAACUUCACUUGUUUCUUCUGCAACAGACAAAGCAUAUGCAACCAAAUUUGCAUACCUUUAUGGUGGUCGAAUAUCUCUCCGUGGUCUAUCCUUGGCUAUGGAAUAUUGCUCUUCCUCUGGAUUAACUUCGUUAGUAGACUCGGGACCACCUACUGGCAUUCUUUGAGUAGAAGAGUUCGACUUAAAAGAAUCUGAACUAUCAAUCUCAAGCUCCACCUGCUUCUGCGCACUAUCAUUUGUACAACUAGUAGAAUCCUCUUUAAAAGAUAACAUAGAUAAUUUAUCAAAAGUAAUAUCUCUACUAAUUAUAAAUUUUGGAUAUUUGGGAUCAGAACACCAUCUGUAUCUUUUCAUCCCAGAAGCAUACCCAAGGAAAAUGUACUUUUUCGUUCGAGAUUUUAAUUUUCCUUCAUUUAUAUGCAUGUAUGCUGGACACCUAAAAUUUUUAAAUCAGAGUAAUCAGUAAGAAUACCUGACCAUUCCUCUGAAGUUUUAAAGUUAAAUGCUGCAUAAGAACGGGCAUAGUGUGUGCAAGGAAUCCGGCGGAGAACGGGCAUAGUGUGUGCAAGGAAUCCGGCGGGGAAGAGGACGAGAGUCCAAAUGAUCCUCCCAAUCGUGGAAUGCCAUAUAGACUCACCGAUCCUUGUCAAAUUUGACUCCGGACGCCAAGUGGUUCGAGGCCCCCACCGCCUGCUUUCCAAGAAGCUUCCACGGCUGCUGCGAACUGACUCGAAGUGACUUCUCCAUCCUUUCUUCAUUUCCUACUUUUUGAUGGACGGGACGUGUGAGACUGCUACGGAAAUGCCCCAACGUUGACUCGGUCAGUCUUCCUUUUCCAUAAGCACAUGACGUGAAAGCAUGACUGUUUACAUUAAGCGCAUAAUACCGUGGGAUUUUUAUGGCGUUAUCGUCAGCAUAGGUGUUGGCCAAGUCUCAGGUCAUCGGAUUCACGAUUGAAUCGGUGGAUCGAUAUUUAAUANNNNNNNNNNNNNNNNNNNNCCCCAACGUUGACUCGGUCAGUCUUCCUUUUCCAUAAGCACAUGACGUGAAAGCAUGACAGUUUACAUUAAGCGCAUAAUACCGUGGGAUUUUUAUGGCGUUAUCGUCAGCAUAGGUGUUGGCCAAGUCUCAGGUCAUCGGAUUCACGAUUGAAUCGGUGGAUCGAUAUUUAAUAUUAUUUUGAAAAUAAUAUAAUACAUUGUAAUAUAUUAAAAAUAUAAAAUAUAUAACAUAAUAUUAUAUUAUAAUAAUUCAAUUCAUUCUUCACAACAAUAUUAUUACCAGCAUGUUUCAACGAUUAUGUUUCCAUCAUCACAAUACACACAUAAUAUUUACAAAGAUGAAACCAAAAAGAAAGAGUUUGAAAAGCAAUCAUUACAUGAUCUCUAAGAUGAUGUCAGUUUUGAAGAUUCAAACUUAUCAUGGAUACAACAUACAAACACUCCCACUUUUGAUGUCGUCUUCACCCUCAAUCAGUUGUCGAUGAAGCAAUUCUUAUCUUGAUGGCAACAUAAGCUUUAUCAUAUAUUUUAUCAACCAUCUGAAAAUAGAAAACCCUCCAAUUUUUCUUGAACAGCAUGAGUAUAAACAUGCUCCAUAAUCCAACCAAAUAUCCGAGUAUGAUACUCAAAUAAUAUGAUGACAUAAAGGAUCCGUCUUUGUUGUUUUCUUUUGUCACAUUGUUACUUUUAAUACUGUAACAACUCUCGGUGAGGGGAGCUCCACAUAGAUAUGCAUUGCCAAUAUAAAUGGAUGCGUCAUUGAGUGUUUGUAAUUGAUUUCCCGAAGGAAUAACUCCUGAUAGAUUGUUGUAAGACAGAUUCAAGUGAUUCAAAGAAUACAAGUCUGACAAGCUUUGAGGAAUGCCUCCGGAUAACUUAUUAAAUGACAGGUCCAGAGUUUCCAAUGACUUCAUGGCACCAAUUGUCGCUGGUAUUUGGCCGACAAGAUUAUUUCUUGAUAGAUUUAAAGUUUGGAGUGUCGAAAGAGACCCAAUUUCUACUGGGAUUUCUCCUGUCAAAUUAUUAUUUGAAACGUCUAUAAUAUUGACAAGGUAAACAAUGAUCGAAAAGAUGAGACUAUUUCCCUUUAUAGUUAGAGUGAUGCUAUCAUCAUAAGUGCCAUCAAAAUUCGACAAAGCAGAGCGAGUUUUUACUAAUGCAUCAUAAGUUAUAUGUUGGCCUAGACUCGUCAAUUUUCGUUGCCUAUAAGUUUUUGUUGCAUUUAAAUUGCCAAAGGAGCGUGGAAUUGGCCCUGAUAAAUUAUUAUUAGCAAGGUCGAUAAUAUGUAGAUGAUGAAGUUGUCCAAGCUCCGAAGGAAUGUUACCAGAAAACAUAUUUGAGCAUAGCCGGAGUACCUCUAGGUUUUGAAAAUUUUGUGCAAUCCACGUAGGUAUGCUACCUGAGAAUUUAUUAUCGCCAAGAUCAAGAAAAACUAGUCCACUGCAAUUUUUCAAUGACGACGGAAGAUGCCCAUGUAGACUAUUAUUGUUUAAGUGCAAAGACCGUAGCUGAGUCAACUUUUCAAUAGAGCUAGGAAUUUCUCCCGAGAGCUUAUUAUCUGCUAGAUUAAUGUAGAUAAUAAAGUUUGUCUCUUGCCAACACCAAGGGAUUUCACUUGAUAUUUGGUUGCUCGAUAGAUCGAGGAUACGAAGUUGAGUCAAGUUGCAGACAAAUGAUGGUAUGCUCCCACUGAUAUGGUUAUGUGAGAGAUCCAACAGUUCCAAUUCUAGUGGGAGAGAAAUUGAUGACAACGAUCCCGAAAAGGAAUUAUUAUACAGAUACAAAUAACUCAAGUUAGGUGGCAAACGAGGAAUAGGGCCUUCAAGCAAAUUCAUACUUAGUUUCAGAGUGGACAGGUUUGUCAUGUGCUCCAAGAAAGUUGGCAAAGUACCAUUAAUCUGAUUUUGGGAGAGAUUUAUAGAAAAAGCGGGAAUGUUCCAAAACCAAUCAGGCAAGACGUCCUCGAUGCUUGUGUUCGACAUACCCAAAUCGUUAAUGGAGUUUUGUGAACGGAGCCAUCUUGGAAAUGCAGGCCCCAACUUACAAGACUUCAGUUGAAUGGAUUGGAGUUGAAAAGGAGGAAUCCAAUCAUAGCCUACUGAGAUGACUAGGGAGUUUUCGGAUACAUCAAGCUCACUUAGUUUGGUUAAGUUAGCGAAAUGGAGUUCAGACAUGGUGCCCUCUAGGGAAUUACUAGAGAGAGAAAGAAAAAUGAGGUUGGAAAGCUUGCCGAUCUCAGUAGGUAUCGUUCCAAAGAGUAAAUUACCACUAAGAUCUAUAUAUUCUAGACCAGUCAAAUUUCCAAUCCCAGCAGGUAUGGGUCCAAAGAGUGAAUUAUUACUGAGAUCGAUAUAUUUUAGACUAUUCCAAAUUCCAAUCUCAGUGGGUACGGGACCUGAAAGAGAAUUAUAACUAAGAAAAAGUUUUCUUAGACGAGUCAAAUUCUUAAUCCCAUCAGGUAUGGGUCCAAAGAGUGAAUUACCACUCAGAUCGAUAAGUUUUAAACUAUUCCAAAUUCCAAUCUCAGUGGGUAUGGGACCUGAAAGUGAAUUAACACCAAGAUAAAGUUCUCUUAGACCAGUCAAAUUUCCAAUCCCAGCGGGUAUGGCACCAUGAAACAUAGAAAAACUGAGAUCAAGAUAAGAGAGUCUGUGGAGUUUCCAUAGCCAGUUGGGGAUGGUGGAGUUGAAGAGGUUGCCAAAGAGAUCGAGAGUGGUCAACGUCGUGAGGUUGACAUGGGAAAGAGAAGAGGGGAGGUCGGUGAGGCCACAGUAUUGUAAAUGUAGCUCCUCCAGUGAGGACAACAUGUUCACCGCUUGAAGCCAAUUGUGGGAGGCCAUGGAAAGAUUCCCAAAGCUCAUGUCGAGGUAUCUCAAGGAAGUGAGACGCGAGAGCCAGUGCAGGCCAUCGGUCGAUAAGCCACCCGAAUUGAGAUCGAGAUAGCGGAGGCUGGACAGGUUGCCCAGCUGGGGCGGAAUGGCUCCGCUGAAGUUGGACCAGGAGAGGUCGAGAUACGUCAACUUGGUAAGGGAACCCAAAAAUUUCGGGAUUUGGAUCCCACCGAAGUCAUUGUAGCUGAGGUUGAGGCGCUCCAAAUGAGUUAGAAGGAGCAAGGAUGGUCUGAUCUCACCUCCGAUAGACGUCUCAUAGUUAUAAGGGUCGGAAUUCUGGAGGUUGAGCUCCACGACAUGGCCGGUUCUGUUGUCACAGACCACCCCGCUCCAUCUGCAGCAGUCUACUCGGCCUCGCCAUGAUGACAAACUGCUAGAAGGAUCCUUGACGAUGCCGGUUUUGAAGUCGAGGAGGGCGUCCCUCUCACCCUCUACGCACCCCUUCGUCGUCGGCGUUGUUGCCGCCGUGAACAAAAGAAUGCUCGUAAGCCAACGCCCGAAAGAGUAGUGCCGUGGCACAGGGUGUGUGCUACUGGUGCAAUAGUCCAUGAGGCUAUUUGGUGAGUGGAUAGUGUACUGAGAGAUGGAAGGCGGCGGAGGACAUGUAUAUAUAGAGUGGGUGUGGGGGCGUGAUGGCCCUCCCCUCCCGCAACCCAUCAUAGACUCCUGUGAAACGUUAAGAUUGAUGCACUGGUAGCGAUGUAUAGAUAAAAAACAUGACUUUUGUGGGAUUCGACUCCUGCCGGACCUGCAGUCUGUGCACCUUGCAGCUUACUCGAACUUGGUUUCUACCCUGCCUGGGUCCCAAAGUUGGGGCUCGGUUCGCAAGAACGAAAGAGAUUGAUACUGGAUUACAAACUUGAAAGAAACGGCCAUUUAAUCGGCCUUGUUGGAUUGCGUAGAACGUCUCAUUCGGCCCGAAUGCGAUAGUGUGGAAUCGAAUUCAUGCCUCCCUCAUUCCACACGGUUUGAUUCUGAUGUCCGCACAUCGGAACGCAUCAUCUUCUUAGCCAAGAUAAAAUGUAUGGAGGCGAUGAAUACCUUAUUCCAGGGGUCGAAAUGUCGCCAUGACAUGUCAAACGUCAUCACGGAAGACAACGUGGAUGAAGACUCCGACCCACCGCAAACGAUUCCUCACCCAAGAUAACACGGUAAGCCAUCGCUUUACAUGUAGCGUCCUUCCGAAAGAGGGAGACUCAACGAUGUUUGUAGCGGAACGCACGCUUCGCUUUCACAUGUGUGGAAAUCUUUGUUGGGAACCCAAAGUCACGCAACAAAUUGAUUCGUUUGACACACAAGUGGUGAAGAUGAUGAGGAUUUCCCACCAUUUUUGUGAUGAAUUUUGUGGGGAAUUGUCCCCACAGGAGCGAAAGAAAUGGCUGCAAAUUUUCUGUUCUUUUUAUCUCUUUCGUUUUCUACAAAAUUGCACUUGUUUUUAUUCCCUUCAAAAUUAAUGAUUUCGUACUUAUUUAAAAUUAACUUGAUUAUGCAAUUCUUAUUACCUAAUCACCAAUAAAGAUAUAGAUUUACAACCCAAAUGGAUGGGUCUUCCAUGAUCCCAAGUUGAUUCCCCUAUGCUUUUGUUCUGGAGAGAUCAUCCUGGCUAACACCCAAAUGGACGGAUGACAUGCACUGAGCUACCUUGGAGAUGUGGGUGACUCCGUGAGUUUUUUUGUACGUAAGCGUGCUUGUUUUUGUUAAUGAUUGCCGGAGAAGUUUAUAUAGUUAUUGAUAAAAGAAAAAAUAAUAUUAAAUCUAGUAUAAUAUUCAUGUGAAAUCUGGGGAUAUAAUGACUGAUCGAAUUACGCAUUCAUUAAUAUUUUUUUCAAAAACAAAUUAUAAUAUAAUUGUAUGUUAUAUUGAACAUAUAAAAUAUAUGAAAAAUAAAUAAUUGUAUGAUUUCAUUCAAUCGUUUGCUUGUUCCAGCAUUUAUCAUCUAUACGUGAGAGACCAAACCAUUCCUUGGAUCCAUCCUACUCGAAAUCAUCAUACGACCAUCUAAUCAACAAACCAUUACUGCAGCCAAUCAUAGAAAAACCAAGAUUGGUCGUAUAAUAUUUGUAAUAUUUCCAAGCAUAUAAUGAACAAACGAAAAAAAAAAAAAAAAAGCUUGAGAUUGUGCGUCACAUAACCUUCAAAACAUUCAGUAGAGAUACUUGUACAUAUUAACCUCAUCGCAACCUUUAAUUCAUUGUCAACCUAGCCGUGAUGUCAGCAUAAAAUUUAUAAUAUACUAUAUUAAAUAUAAAAAUAAUCUUUUAUGUCAAAAUUAAAAUCAAAUAAUUAGAUCUGAUUUUACGAUAUGUACCUUUUGAUGUCAUCUGAAAGGAUGUUUGAUCUACAAGGAUACCGUAUUUAAAUCCAAUAUCGUUAUCAGUCUGCAAAAUGAACUAUAUCCUCUCUUCCUAUCCUUUCAUAAAACCACUUAGAUUGAUGGUUAAGGAGAAGCGUUGAAAGAGAUGCGUUGAAAGAGAUACUUUAAUCCCUCAACUAUAAUUACUAUUCCUCUUGUUUAGUCCUUAUAAGUCAUGUCUAUUUAUAAACGAGAGCAGAUGGUUUAGAAUAAGUAAUUAAAAUAGUUUCUCCUGUAUCCUAAGGAAUCCUACUUUAAUAUAGUGGCUAAUAUAUUACAUCAAAAUCCAAUUAGUUAUAUUAUAUAUUUAUUAUCUAAUUAUAAAUGACCACAAAAACUAAUAUUUUGUCACUUGACCCAUUAAUUGAUAAGAUAUAAAAAAGAUAUUCAAAAUCAAAAUAAAUAAAAUAAAAUUUAUUUUAAAAUAAUUUUACCUAAUUGGAUUUCAAAGAAUUUUGAAAAUCAUUUUAUACAUGGUCAUGAAUUUUAAAAUAAACCAAUAAGUCCAAUAUACAUAAUAAUACUAUAUUAAGCUCAACUAUCAAUACGAAUCAUAACGGUUGUAUAUCAUCAAUGUCAUACUUUUUUCUAUAUACUACAACAUUAUUAGUCUUUCCUAAUAUAUUUCAUAAUGACCCAUAUAAUUUAUCUUGUCAAGACAAUUUUGUAAUAGCAUUUAUCUAAACAUGCAUAAUCAUAAUCAUAUAUUAAGCUCACAAGCCUCAUUCUAAGAACCUAUUCUUUAAAUAUUUUAUAUUAUAAAGCUUUUGUUAAUAGAUCAGCAAUCAUCAUAGUGGUGCUCAGGUUGUCAAUUGACACUUACUGUUUCUGGAUUCUUUCUCUAACCACCGAGUAAUUUAUCUCGAUAUGCUUGGAACCACUAGAGUACUUAUCAUUUUUAGAGAAGAAAAUUACUGUGAUAUUAUCACAAAAUAUCUUCAAUGGUCUGGUAAUUGAGUCAACCACACAAAGUCCUAAGAUGAAAUUUCAUAGUCAUAAAACUUGAUUUGUGGCCACAAAGCAUGCCACAAAUUCAACUUUCAUUGUUGAUGAUACAAUAAGCGAUUACUUUACACUUUUUCAAGAAAUUACCCAAUCAGCUAACAUGAAUACAAAUCCAGAAGUGGACUUUCAACUGUCGAGAUAAUUUGCAAAAUCAGCAUCUGAAUAUCCUAUCACUUCAAGCUGAUCUGAUAUCGUAUAUGUGAGCAUAUAAUCUUUCGUCCCCUAUAGAUAUCCAUUACUUUAAUUGCAGCUUUCCAAUGUUCUAUUCCUGGGUUACUUUGGUAUCUUCAUAGCAUUAUAAUUGUAAAACUAAUAUAUGAUCUUGUACAUGUUUGAGCAUAUAAUAGACUUUCAAUUGCACACCCAUAAUGAAUAUUUUUAUUUGAUUUUUUUGUAAGUCAUUUUUCGGGCAUUGGUUUUGAUUGAAUUUUUCACCUCUAGUAAUAGGUAUAUCAUUAGCUCAUAUUAAAUCUCUCCAAAAUAUGAUUAAUAUAUGGUUUCUGAGUCAAUCAUAAUAAUCCUUGAGAUCUAUCCUUAAAUAUCUCAAUGUCAAUAAUAUAUACUGCCUCAUUCAUAUAAACCAUCUUAAAGUUCUUGUUGAGAAAUAUCUUGGUUUCGUGCAAUAAACCAAGAUCACUACUUGUAAGUAAAAUAUUCGUUGAAUCUCAAAUUUUGAUGAUGAAACUAAUUAAUAAGUGUUUAUGAUUUGAUUUGCGUUUUGAGUGAUACAGGAUGCUUCAAUCUAGGAGAGACAAUUAAAGUGGAAGAAUCAUGUUGGGCCGGUGGAACAUGUCAAAAGAUUGGACGUCAAGCCUGAAGAUCGGUCGACGUAUCGACAUAAGGCUUCAGGCCAAGAAGAGCGGAUAUUGCCCCAAAGAUAUCGGAGUUGCGGAGGUCAACUGGUCGAUUGGGCAAUGAACCCACAAGAGAGGACGAUGCGUCGAAGAAUCGGACGAAGCGUCGAUAGACUAAUGACAUGUCGGACAACAUGAUUCAUGCUUAGUAAUAAUUAUCUAGAUCGAAGUGUGUUUUAUGUGUGUAGGAUUAACUACGAUAGCAAGGCAUAAAGCAAAAUGAAGUCCCGGAGUCAAGAACGUGAUUUCGUUGGGAGUUCGAGAGUUCGUCAGAAGUCCGAACGUUCGUCAGAAAUUCUACCGGAACCAACCAAGAAGUCCAGGAGCUUGCCAGAGAAGCUCAUCGAAAUUAGCCAAGAAUAUCAUCGUGAAGUCUAGGAGCUUGCCGGGAGUCCGUUGGAACAUGCCGAGAGAUCGUCGGAAGUUCGCCGGAAGAAACCUUGACUUAUCGGACUUAUUUAGCUUAGUGUAUGCUUUAGAAUUCGUAGUUAGCAUAUAAUUGGGAUUGGAAUUUGGCCAACCCAAUUAUGGGCUAGUUGGGCCCAUGUAAGGACUGUGUUGAGCCUAAUAAAAGGCUCAAACAAUGACCCAAGAGGUGGCACUGUCGUGACAUAGUCUUCGAGACUAUGUCAGGCGAUGGUAUCGCCGGUCUGGGCGAUGGUACCGCCCAGACAAAGUCUCUAAGAGACUAUCAAGCAGUGGUACCGCCAGUCUAGGCGGUGGUACCACCCAGCACAAGCUGUGGUAUCGCCCGUACCUAGGAAACCCGCGAUGAGAUAUUUUUAGGCUCCAAGUUUGAAUCAACUUGAGGCCUAUAAAUACACCUCUUAUCCCUGGUUAACAUACACAAGCACAAAUAAUUUAAAAGUGAGAAAACGCUAUUGCAAUCUCUUGAGAAAUUCUCUCCUCUACUCUAAGUCUAGAAUUCUGUUUAAGUGAGGAGUGAGUGCUUGUAAAGGUUAUCUCCUAAACCUGUGAAAAAAAGAAGAGAGGUGUAAAAUGGUAGUUGAUCUUCGCCCAUUGAAAGAAGAUCGAUAGUAGAUGCCGAUGGUCUCGACGGAAGAAGAAUCGAUAGAGUGGAUGUAGGUCAUGAUGAGUGAACCACUAUAAAAAUAUGGUUUGCUGUUCUUUUGUAUAAUUUAUCUUACUGCAAACCUCCUUACUUACUGUUAUACUCUUCCGUACACUCUCAAGUUAUCCUUGGAAGAAUCGGUUUUAAUCGAACGAAUAUUUUCAAACUGACGUAAUUUUACCGUUGCACUAAUUCACCCCCCCCUCUUAGUGCCGACUCAUUCCUAACAAUAUCAUCAACAUAUAAGACCAGUAUAUGCACUGAUCAACAGUGUUUUCAAUAAAUCUAAAGGAAGUAAUGGUAUUACGAAACUUUAUAUACUAUUAUCUAGAAACUUAUUUAAGGCAAUAAAUAGAUUUCUUAAGUUUACAAGCCCAACUUUCUUUUUCCUUUUCGAUGAAUCAUUUAGGUUAUUCCAUAUAGAUUUUCUCAGCCAAAUCCCCAUUCAAAAAUGUUGUUUUCACAUCCAUCUGAUAUAACUCGAAAUCAUAAUGAGCUACUAAUGCCAUGACGAUUCUCAACGAGUUCCUUUUAGAAACUAGAGAAAAAGUCUCGUUAUAGUUGAUGUCUUUUUUCUAAGAAAAACCUUUGGCCACAACUCUUUUAUAAUUAUCGAGCAAUUCAAUGAGUUCCCAAACAUCAUUCUGGAUUAUUGAUUUUAACUCUUCUUGUAUUGCAUCGUACCAUUUUUCAGAAUUGUUACUUUUUAUGGCUUAUGAAAGCAAAAAAAGGGGUCUCUUUUUAUUCAUAUAUCAUAAUAUGAUUCUUGUAGAUAUACCACAUAAUCAUCAGAAAUUACAUGUUUCCUUUUUCUUUGAGAUCUUCUCAAAGUUAUCGAUUGUGAUUGUUCUACAAGUUCAUCAGUGGUGACAUCAACAUCAUGCGAGAGUUUUCAUUAAUUUGAGAAACAACAAUCACUCAAAUAGGAGAUUAUAUGAGAGAAUUAAUCUGAAUCUUCUCAAUAUCAAAAUUGAUCAUUCUAUAUUUAGAUCCAAGAUUGAUGGUUAGAGAGAAGAGUUAGAGAGUGACUUUGAUCCCUCAAUUAUAAUUUCUUUCUUUCUUGUUUAGUCCCUAGAGAUCUUGUCUAUUUAUAAGUAAGAAUAGAGGAUCUAGAAUAAAUAAUUAGGAGACUUCCUUCCAUCAAUAUUAUCUCAUAACGAAUCAUAUUUUACACGUACUUCUUUUCUAUUGACUAAUAUAUUAUAUCAGAAUCUAAUUAGUUAUAUUAUAUAUUUUUUAUCUAAUUAUAAAGGAUAAUCUAAAUAUAAAGGGUCGUAAAUAGAAUCCUCGGUCAAAAGUGUGCAAGAACUGCAUGCGUAUGUAACAAGAAAGCAAAGACAGAUGGUCUUCAAAGAGAUUUGCGAACUAAGAUACUGUUCUUGGAAGGACAUGGCCAAUUAAUGGCCCUCCUCAGAUUGGGUUCCACAUUGGCUCUACUCCAAAGCCUUGUUUGACCUGCCGUUCAUUAUGAUAGAAAUAAUAGAAGAUAAGAACAAUAAUGGAAGAAGCUUUAUUGUAGAAAUGAAAUAGCUUUAGCUUAAAUACAUUAACAUGUUCCUCUCCUAUUUAUAGGAUUAGGAGGGAGGAUUUUCCUCAACAGAAUAGAUAAGAUUUCCUCAUAUAGUGAGGAAAUCUUAUCUUCUAUCAUGCCCCCGUAAGAUGGUGCUCCUGACAAGGAUACCAAUCUUGGAACGAUGCAAGGAAUGAUUUACAAGCAAGAGGCUUCAUGAGUAGGGCAAGAGUUGAUCGCUACUGUUGCUGCGAUUGCUGUUGCUGUGAGGGCACAGGCGUUCCUUUCGUUCUCCUUAAGUCCGCCCUUCGUUCUCCUUAAGUCCACCGACUGUAGAAGAUGAGGAUUGGCCGUGAAACCUCUUAGGAAUGUGCCUGUAGCGACGUUGGUAGCUGGCCGAAGGCAAGGGCGAAGCUUCGCUUUUCUCACUGCUCUGAUACCAUGAUAGAAAUAAUAGAAGAUAAGAACAAUAAUGAAAGAAGCUUUAUUGCAGAAAUGAAAUAGCUUUAGUUCCUCUCCUAUUUAUAGGAUUAGGAGGGAGGAUUUUCCUCAACAGAAUAGAUAAGAUUUCCUCGUAUAGGGGAAAUCUUAUCUUCUAUCACAUUGCACGUAAUCUUCCUGGCUAUUACUUUGCUGCUUCAAUAAUUCGUAAAAAAGAUAAUUGGAAAUUAGAUGGAAGAGAUGUGAAUUCAUAUGUAAUUUUAGGCUAUAUAAAGGCCACGAAAUAAGCCCAUUCUCUGUCUUUACCCAUCGCCUCAGCCUCGGUGGGAUCCCUCCCGUGGCGGCUACCUUUCUCGCAAGCACCGGAAUGGUAGGUUGGGCUGCUCCCUCUGCCUGCAGUCUGUGGAGUAAACCUCGAUACGAAUCGUCGAUGCGACUUGGUGCAUCGGAAGAUAGAUUUCCGAAACGUGGAGUAAAUCUUGAUUUCGUGAUGGCAAAGGAGAUGAGCCACAUCCAAACCGUGAGAUCGUCACUGCAAAAUGCCAAAGGAACCAUGCAAUGGAUCGCCAAGGACGUCGUAGUACAACAGACAGUGAUCGUACACCCUAAAAACAAUGGCUCAUCACAGCGCCCAACGAUCAACGAUGCGAAAUGUCAAGAACACCAUGCGAUCACCGACGACAAUGAAAAGAAUCUGUGCAGAAUGGUGAUCUUUAUAUCACUUGGCUAAGGAACCUCUCGUAGCGAUAACUGAUAACAAUGUUAAAUCAGUGCAGUUUUGUCGUCCGAUGGUGCCUGUUUAUGCGAGAGAGAUCUGUGCGGUCAAUGAUGGAAGAAGAAGGAUUCCCAAACCAGACGAGUUGUUCUCGAUGCCUCCUACAUCGGAACAGAAACAGAGUUUGAGAUUAACAUUUCAUAAUCUUCAAAACGAGAUCCUUUUUGACAGAUGAAAUGGAUCACACUUAUAACACGAAAGAAACUUGCAUCACAUUCGAUCAGCUGCGUCAUGGCAAUUUCGCAUUCUUAUCUUGAUUGCCACAUAAGCUCUGUCGUACAUCUUGUCCACCGUUGCAAAAUAGAAGAGCCUCCAAUCUUUCUUGAACAGCAUGAUCACGAACACGCUCCAUAAGCCGACCAAAUAUCCGAGCCCGGUACUAAAGUAAAAUGACAGCACACGAGAUCCUUGUUCGUACUCCUCCUCCGUCGAAUCGACGUUGGGAUCGUCGGAGCAACUCUUGGUCACCGGAGGUCCACAGAGAUGGACAUUUCCGAUAUAAAUGGAUGCAUCCUCCAGCGUCCGAAGUUGAUUCCCCGAUGGAAUCGCUCCCGAUAGAUUGUUGUAAGACAGAUUCAAGUGGUUCAGAGAAUUCAGCGCAGAAAAGCUUUGAGGAAUGCCUCCGGAUAACUUAUUGAAUGACAGAUCCAGAGUUUCCAAUGAUUUCAUGGCACCAAUUGCCGCCGGAAUUUGGCCGACAAAAUUGUUUCUCGAUAGAUUUAAAGUUUGGAGCAUUGAAAGAGACCCAAUUUCAAUUGGGAUUUCUCCUGUCAAAUUAUUAUUUGAAAGAUCUAUAAUGUUGACAAGGUAAAGAAUGAUUGAAAAAUUAUAAUAUCUUCCCUUUAUAGUUAGAGCGAUGCUAUCUUCAUAGUUGUCAAAAGGCCACAAAGCAGGGCGGUCCUUUACAAAGGGACUAUAAAAUACUUGUUUGUCUCGACGAGUCAAAUGCUGUUUCCAAUGAGUCAUUGCAGCAUUUAAAUUGCCAAAGGAGUGUGGAAUUGGCCCUGAUAAUUUAUUAUUAGCAAGGUCGAUAACAUGUAGAUAAGCAAGUUGCCCAAGCUCUGCAGGAAUGUUACCGGAAAACAUAUUUGAGCGUAGUCGGAGUACCUCUAGGUCUAGAAAAUUUUGUGCAAUCCAUGUAGGUAUGCUACCCGAGAAUUUAUUAUUGCCAAGAUCAAGAAAAACUAGUGCACUGCAAUUUUUCAAUGAUGAUGGAAGAAGCCCAUGUAGUUUAUUAUUGUUUAAGUGGAAAGACUCGAGCCAAAUCAAAUUUUCAAUAGAGCUGGGAAUUUCUCCCGAAAGCUUAUUAUUUGCCAGAUUAAUGGAGGAAAAGUAGUUUGUCUCCUGCCAACACGAAGGGAUUUCACCUGAUAUUUGGUUGCUCGAUAGAUCGAGAAUAUCAAGUCGAUGACAGUUGCAGAUAAAGGACGGUAUGCUCCCGUUAAUAUGGUUACGUGAGAGAUCCAAGAUUCUAAAUUCUAGUGUGGGAAAGAUCGAUGGCAAUGAUCCUGAUAAAGAAUUACAAGCCAGAUUCAAAUAACGCAAGUAAGAUAGCAAAACCAAGGAAGUUGGCAAAGUGCCGUUAAUUUGAUUUUGGGAGAGAUUUAUAAAAGAAGCAGAGUUAUUCCAAAACCAAUCAGGCAAGACGUCCUCGAUGCUUGUGUUCGACAUAUCCAAAUAUCUAAUGGAGUUUUGUGAACGGAGCCAUCUUGGAAACGCAGGACCCAACUUACAAGAACUCAGUUUAAUGGAUCGGAGUUGAAAAGGAGGAACCCAAUUGUGGUCUAUUGAGAUGACUAGGGAGUUUUCGAAUAGAUCGAGCUCACUUAGUUUGGUUAAGUUAGCGAAAUGGAGUUCAGACAUGGUGCCCUCUAGGGAAUUACUAGAGAGAGAAAGAAUAGUGAGGUUGGAAAGCUUGCCGAUCUCAAUGGGUACGGGACCUGAAAGUGAAUUAUCGUUAAGAUAAAGCUCUCCUAGACCGGUCAAAUUCCCAAUCCCAACAGGUAUGGGUCCAAAGAGUGAAUUAUCAUUAAGAUAAAGCACUCCUAGACUAGUCAACUUCCCAAUCCCAGCAGGUAUGACUCCGAAGAGUGAAUUAUGAUCAAGAUAAAGCUCUCUUAGACUAGUCAAAUUCCCAAUCUCAGCAGGUAUGGGUCCAAAGAGUGAAUUAUAACUUAGAUAGAUAAGUUUUAGACUAUUACAAAUUCCAAUCUCAGUGGGUAUGGGACCUGAAAGUGAAUUAUCACUCAGAUGAAGUUCUCUUAGAUCGGCCAAAUUUCCAAUCCCAGCGGGCAUGGCACCAUGAAACAUAGAAGAACUGAGAUCAAGAUAGGAGAGGUUGUGGAGUUUCCAUAGCCAGUUGGGGAUGGUGGAGUUGAAGAGGUUGUCACUGAUGUCCAGAGUGGCCAGUGCUGUGAGGUUGACAUGGGAAAGAGAAGAGGGGAGGUCGGUGAGGCCACAGUCAUGUAAAUGUAGCUCCUCCAGUGAGGACAACAUGUUCACCGCUUGAAGCCAAUUGUGGGAGGCCAUGGAAAGUUUCACACCGCUCAUGUCGAGGUAUCUCAAGGAAGUGAGACGCGAGAGCCAGUGCAGGCCAUCGAUCGUUAAGUCAUAUAGUGAAUUUAGGUUGAGAGAGCGGAGGGUGGACAGGUUGCCCAGCUGGGGCGGAAUGGCUCCGCUGAAGUUGGACCAGGAGAGGUCGAGAUACGUCAACUCGGUAAGGGAACCCAAAAAUUUCGGGAUUUGGAUCCCACCGAAGUCAUUGUGGCUGAGGUUGAGACGCUCCAAAUGAGUUAGCAGGAGCAAGGAUGGUCUGAUCUCACCUCCGAUAGACGUCUCAUUGUUUAGAUAGUCUGGAUUGAGGUUAAGCUCCACGACAUGGCCGGUUCUGUUGUCACAGACCACCCCGCUCCAUCUGCAGCAGUCUACUCGACCUCGCCACGAUGACAAGCGGCUGGAAGGACCCCCGAGGAGACCGGUUUUGAAGUCGAGGAGGGCGUCCCUCUCGCCCUCUACGCACCCCUUCGUCGUCGGCGUUGUUGCCGCCGUGAACAAAAGAAAGCUCGUAAGCCAAAGCCCGAAAGAGUAGUGCCGAGGCACAGGGUGUGUGCUUCUGGUGCAAGAGGCCAUGAUGCUAUUUGGUGAGUGCAUAGUGUACUGAGAGAUGGUCGGCGGUGGAGGACAUGUAUAUAUAGAGUGGGUGUUGGGGCGUGAUGGCCCUCCCAUCCCCAACCCAUCGUAGACUCCUGUGAAACGUGAAGAUUGAUGCACUGGUAGCGAUGGAUAGAUAAAAAGACUUUUGACUUUUGUGGGAUACGACUCCUGCUGGACCUGCAGUCCGUGCACCGUGUAGCUUCCUCGAACUUGGUUUCUACCCUGCCUGGGUCCCAAAAUCGGGGCUCGGUUCGCAAGAACGAAAGAGAUUGAUGCUGGAUUUCAAACUUGAAAGAUACGGCCAUUUAUUCCAGGCGUCGAAAUGUAUGGAGGCGAAGAAUACCUCAUUCCAGGGUUCGAAAUGUUCGCCACCACAUGUCAAACGUCAUCACGGAAGACAAAAGUGUGGAUGAAGACUCCGACCCACCGCAAACGAUUCCUCACCCAAGAUAACACGGUAAGCCAUCGCUCUACAUGUAGCGUCCUUCCGAAGGAGGGAGGAGACUCGACGAGGUUUGUAGCGGAACGCACGCUUCGCUUUCACAUGUGUGGAAGUCUUUGUUGGGAACCCAAAGGCACGCAACAAAUUGAUUCGUUUGAUACACAAGUGAUGAAGAUGAUGAGGAUUUUGUGGGUAAUUGUUCCCACAGUAGCGAAACAAAUGGCUGCAUUUCUUUUCAUCUCUUUCGUUUUCUACAAAAUUCCACUUUUUUGUAUUCCCUUCAAAAUUAAUGAUUUCGUACUUAUUUAAAUUUAACUUGAUUAUGCAACUCUUAUUACCUAAUCACCAAUAAAGAUAUAGAUUUACAACGCAAAUGGAUGGAUCCCAAGUUGAUUCCCAUAUGCUUUUGUUCCCGAGAGAUCAUCCUGGCUAACACCCAAAUGGACGGAUGGGAUGCACUGAGCUACCUUUGACUCCCUGGGUGACUCCGUGAGUUUUCGAAAUCAUCACACAACCAUCUAAUCGACAAACCAUUCCUGCAGCCAAUCAUUAAAAAAACAUUAUUAGCCGUAUAAUAUUUGUACUAUUUCUAAGCAUCAAAUGAACAAGUAUACAAAAUAAAAGCUUGAGAUUAUCCGUCACAUAACCUUUAAAAUGUGAAGUAGGGAUAUUCGAAUGCAUUGACCUUUAAUCCAUCGCCAACCUAGCGAUCCGUAUCUUGAAUGCUACGUAAAUCUUGUCGCACAAGUUAUCCAUCACUCGGAAGUAGAAGAUCCUCCAAUCUUUCUUGAAAAGAAUAAUGAUAAAUACGCUCCAUAAUCCGACCAAAUAUCCGAGUGCAAUGCUGAAAGUAAAUGAUAGCACAUCAGAUUCUGUUUUGUUUUCUUCUUCUUCGAAAUCGACAUUAGUCUCGUUGACGCAACUCUCGGUGACCGGAGGUCCACAGAGAUACGCAUUGCCGAUGUAAAUGGAUGCAUCAUCGAGCGUCCGAAGUUGAUUCCCUGAUGGAAUGACUCCUGAUAGGUUGUUGUACGACAAAUUCAAGUGGCUCAGAGAAUCUAGCGCUGAAAAGCUUUCGGGAAUGACGCCAGAUAACUCAUUGAACGACAGAUCCAAUGUUUCCAAUGACUUCAUCCGACCAACCGCUGCAGGAAUCGUGCCGCCAAAACUAUUUCUGGAUAAAUUUAAGGUUUGCAGUGCAAAAAGAGAACCAAUUUCCGUAGGAAUCACUCCGGAUAGCUCGUUAUCUGAAAGGUCGAUGCUUUUCACGAGAUUGAGAAUGGUCGAGAAACUGAACUCAUCUCCCUUCGUGACCAGAGAUAUGCUUUCGCUGGCCACAAAAGAGGAUAGCACAAACUCUACAUUGUUUGAUAUCGUAGAGGACAUCGACUUGGAGAUAGAGAUCAUCGCACUGAAAUUGCCAAACGAGUGCGGCACUGACCCCGACAGUCUGUUAUUGGAGAGGUCGAUGAUCUGAAGAUCUCUCAGCUGCCCGAGUUGCAUAGGAAUAUUGCCUGAUAACAUAUUCGAGCGCAGUCGAAGCACCUCCAGAUUUUGCAAGCUCUGUCCGAUCCAUGUCGGUAUGUUCCCGGAAAAUUUGUUGUCGCCGAGAUCAAUAAUAGCUAACCGAUUGCAAUAUCGCAACGACGGCGGAAUACGUCCGGAGAGACUGUUGUUGUUUAAGUGCAAGAACUCAAGGUUGCUCAAGUUUCCGAUGGAGUCAGGAAUUUUCCCCCACAGCCUAUUAUUCGACAGAUUAACGAAGAAUAGUUUCGUUGCCUCCUGCCAACACUGAGGGAUUUCUCCGGAUAUCUGGUUGUUCGAUAGAUCGAGAGCAUAGAGUUGCUGCAAGUCGCAGAUGUCGGAUGGUAUGCUUCCCCGAAAAUAAUUGCGGGAGAGGAAUAAGUAUGCCAAGAACGGUGACAGGGUCCAUGGAAGCGAACCGGACAAAGAAUUGUUCGAUAGGUCUAGUGCUUGUAGGUUCGAUGGCAAAGCAGGAAUGUGACCUCGAAGCGUAUUGGAGCUCAAAUUUAAGAACAUCAAGCAGGACAUGCUCUCCAAGGACGCUGGCAGAGUGCCACUGAUUUGAUUGUGGGAGAGGUUGAUAUCCAUGAUGCUGGAAGAAGAAGAAUUCUUCCAGAACCAAAGGGGCACCGCGUCUUGGAUACUCGUGUUGGACAUAUCCAAAUCCAUGAUGGAUUUCUGGGAACGAAGCCACGUGGGAAACGUAGGGCCCAAUUUAAUGGCGUCCAAUUUAACGGUCUGGAGUUGAAACGGCGGGACCCAGUUGUGGUGGAAUUGCAUGGCCAAGGGGUUGUCGUACAGGCACAGGACGAUUAGUUUUGUGAUGUUAGCGAAAUGGCGUUCGGACACAGUUCCCUCCAAAUAGCUACUGGAGAGAUCGAGGGUGAUUAGGUUGGAAAGCUUGCUAAUCUCUGGUGGUAUAAGUCCGGAGAGCAGAUUAUGACUCAGGUCGAGAUUGGUUAGAUUAGACAGAUUCCCGAUCUCGAUGGGUAUUUGACCCGUCAGUGAAUUACCACUGAGGCUUAGAUCCGUGAGACUAGUCAGGUACCCGAUCUCGGUAGGGAUGGAGCCAAUAAGCGAACAGUGAACGAGGGUUAGCUGUGACAAACGAGUCAUGUUCCCGAUCUGUGGUAGAAGACGACUCGUAAACAAAUUAUGGCUGAGGUCGAGGAGGGUCAGACUGGUCAAACUCCAUAUAUCGGCGGGUAUGGAACCGGCAAGCGAGUUGCCGGUAAGGUCGAGCCGUGUGAGACGAGUCAAGUUUCCAAACCCAGUCGGUAUGGUGCCAUGCAAUUCAGAGUUGCUGAUCGCGAGAUUGGAGAGGCGGGGGAGUUCAAAAAGCCAGUUGGGGAAGGUGGAGUUGAACGAGUUAUCACGGAGCUCCAGAUCGGCGAGGGCCGUGAGGUUGACAUGGGAAAGAGAGGUGGGGAGGGUGGUGAGGCCACAACCGGAUGACAAAUAGAGUUGUUGGAGGGAAGGCAGCCGGUUCACUGCAUGUAUCCAGUUGUGGGAGGCGGUGCUGAGGUUCACGCCGCUCAUGUCGAGGUAUCUCAGGGAAGAGAGACGCGAGAGCCAGUCUAGGCCGUCGGUGGUUAAGUCGUAUGAACGCAGAUCCAGAUAGCGGAGGCUCGACAGGUUGCCCAGCUGGGGCGGAAUGGCUCCGCUGAAGUUGGAC